Ooceraea biroi (clonal raider ant) is the source of this 1585-nucleotide long non-coding RNA. RefSeq lists it as uncharacterized. The record is from RefSeq and is a predicted model, not a curated record. Lineage: Eukaryota; Metazoa; Arthropoda; Insecta; Hymenoptera; Formicidae.
AGCAAGGAACAGAACCUAGAAUCGUAAACAUGGCUUAUCAUCUGGCGCGCAUUUCAUGGCCAUAGCGUGUUACCACACGGAUAUUUCUUGGACAUGGCUACAUAGUUCAAUGUUUUCUGUAUAGAGACGCUUGUUAGGUGUGACAGCUAAAGUCACACAUGCAUAACUUGCGAUACGAGUAAUAGAGGUUAACCAAGUCAUGUCAGUUAUUGCAUGUGUAAUUAUUGCAUGACGAAGAUCGACACUGGCCAUUAAAAAAAUAAGCCUAUCGUUCUGUCACGUGUGCUGCCUUCUUGUUAUUGUGCAAUGUCACACUCGUUUCACGAGGAAAACGUUGAGAAAACGUUUUGCUUCUCCUUGCGUCUUGACGCAAGGACAAGCAAAAUGUCCUUGCUAUCUAUUUAAGUUGAAAAAAGACGGUCGUCGAGAUGAAUAAACUGAGCAGCAUCCCGCCGAACAUCAACUUGGAUGAUCCACGCUUCAUAUCAGUCCAUAUCAACAAAUCGUAGCUUCAUGUUCUGAUAUAUUAAUCACAUCGGUAUUCGUCACUCCCUUGGAUGUGGUGAAAAUACGUCUUCAAACAUACAGAAAGCGAUGCUGUCGAAUAAGUGCUUUUUAUAAUUCAAUUGUUUAAUGGAUCAUUUGUGUCCUUAUAAUGGCAGGAUGCCUGAAUGGAUGAAGAGAAAUGGGAAAUUUAAUCGAACAGUAGAUGCUUUAUUAAAAAUAAUUAGAGCAGAAGGAAUAUUGUCUUUGGGGCUUGAAUCCUACUCUUGUUCUAGCGAUACCUGCAAAUGUUGCAUAUUUUGUUUCCUACGAGCAAUUUAGAUUAGAUCUCAAGUUUUUCAGAUCGUGUUUUCGCGACGCCGUGAUGUUAAAAAAAUUUACUUUAGCACUAUCUUGGAGGAGGUUUGUUACUUUAGCCACUCGGAGCAAGUUCUUUGUAUGCAAUGAGAUAUGUAAUGUAUAUAGUAAUAGUAUAUAAUGAGAUACAUUAUAUUGUAAGUAAUUUUGUUAUAUUUUCAAAAUUAUUUCUAAUGGAACAUGCGUAUACGUGUGUAACAUAAGUCUGACACUUUUUCAGUUAUUGAUCAAUCUAUUUGAAUUUUAGUAAUGGAUUGUUCACGUCUUGUAAUAGAAGAAACACAUGUUCUGUGUACGCUAGAAUAUGCACUAGUGUUGUGAUGGCAACUAUGAAAUAAGAGAGCGCUCUUAAAUCUUGCGUCUGCUGUCUGCUCGUACGUGCUAAAGAAGUGCUGAAUGCUGAUGGAAAUAAGUGUUUUGUUUUAGGGUAUUCUCUGUAAUAGAACUAUACUAAUUUGCAAAUCAAGGAACCAGCUUUCAUUGCAUGCGGAAGUUAAAAAGAGUGAGCAAAGAAACGAGUUGCAAGAACAAUGAGAGUACGGAUGAAUCCAUCAAUGUCGGACAAUCAAUAAAAUCAUUGAUUGCUCCCAAUAUGAUGGAAUCAGAAUUCCGUAUCCAAGAAACGUGCCAGGAUAAAAUAACAAAGUACGAAGGUACGUGCAAAAAUUUUCAAUGCGAAGAUGACAAUAGUAUUGUCAUCGAAAAAGGCUUGGAUGUAUAUCGA